RNAcentral lists this ribosomal RNA (546 nucleotides) under uncultured Cryptophyta. Its description in RNAcentral is "SSU rRNA". It matches the Rfam family "Eukaryotic small subunit ribosomal RNA", at positions 597 to 1154 of the family's 1831-position model. The record is from RNAcentral. Lineage: Eukaryota; Cryptophyceae.
GCGUAUAUUAAAGUUGUUGCAGUUAAAAAGCUCGUAGUCGGAUGUCGGGCUCGGGCAAGCUGUCGGCCUUUGGUCGGACGGCAGGCUCGGGUCUUUCUGCCUGAGGAACCCGGUUGCUUUAACGAGCUGCCGGUGGACGCAGGUCGUUUACUUUGAAAAAAUUAGAGUGUUCAAAGCAGGCUAGCGCUUGAAUACAUUAGCAUGGAAUAAUGGAAUAGGACUUUGGUGCUAUUUUGUUGGUUUAUGGGACCGAAGUAAUGAUUAACAGGGACAGUUGGGGCCGUUUAUAUUUCGUUGUCAGAGGUGAAAUUCUUGGAUUUACGAAAGAUAAACUUCUGCGAAAGCAUUCGGCAAGGAUGUUUUCAUUGAUCAAGAACGAGAGUUAGGGGAUCGAAGACGAUCAGAUACCGUCGUAGUCUUAACCAUAAACUAUGCCGACUAGGGAUCAGUGGAUGUCAAUUUGCGACUCCAUUGGCACCUUGUGAGAAAUCAAAGUUUUUGGGUUCCGGGGGGAGUAUGGUCGCAAGGCUGAAACUUAAAGGAAUU